GUAAUGGCAGGUCAGCAUACUGCCGUGAAUACGUUCCCGGGCCUUGUACACACCGCCCGUCACACCAUGAGAGUUGGGGAUACCCAAAGCCCGUGAGCCAACUUAUAAAGAGGCAGCGGUCUAAGGUAGAAUCAAUGAUUGGGGUGAAGUCGUAACAAGGUAAC
This 164-nucleotide ribosomal RNA is filed under the name uncultured bacterium. RNAcentral's name for it is "partial 16S ribosomal RNA". It matches the Rfam family "Bacterial small subunit ribosomal RNA", at positions 1338 to 1500 of the family's 1533-position model. The record is from RNAcentral.